This 502-nucleotide ribosomal RNA is filed under the name uncultured bacterium. RNAcentral describes it as "partial 16S ribosomal RNA". It matches the Rfam family "Bacterial small subunit ribosomal RNA", at positions 28 to 507 of the family's 1533-position model. The record is from RNAcentral.
GACGAACGCUGGCGGCGUGCCUAAUACAUGCAAGUCGAACGAACCGCGACUAGGUGCUUGCACUUGGUCAAGGUGAGUGGCGAACGGGUGAGUAACACGUGGGUAACCUACCUCAUAGUGGGGGAUAACAGUCGGAAACGACUGCUAAUACCGCAUAGGACAUAGGAUCACAUGAUCCAGUGAGGAAAGGUGGCGCAAGCUAUCGCUAAGAGAUGGACCCGCGGUGUAUUAGCUAGUUGGUAGGGUAAAGGCCUACCAAGGCGAUGAUGCAUAGCCGACCUGAGAGGGUGAUCGGCCACAUUGGGACUGAGACACGGCCCAAACUCCUACGGGAGGCAGCAGUAGGGAAUCUUCCGCAAUGGACGCAAGUCUGACGGAGCAACGCCGCGUGAGUGAAGAAGGUCUUCGGAUCGUAAAGCUCUGUUGUUAGAGAAGAACAGCGCAUAGAGUAACUGUUAUGCGUGUGACGGUAUCUAACCAGAAAGCCACGGCUAACUACGUG